Molecule: ribosomal RNA, 492 nt
Filed under: uncultured bacterium
Lineage: Bacteria
Description: partial 16S ribosomal RNA
Rfam family: Bacterial small subunit ribosomal RNA
Source: RNAcentral
AGUGAACGCUGGCGGUAGGCCUAACACAUGCAUGUCGAACGGCAGCACAGUAAGAGCUUGCUCUUACGGGUGGCGAGUGGCGGACGGGUGAGGAAUACAUCGGAAUCUACUUUUUCGUGGGGGAUAACGUAGGGAAACUUACGCUAAUACCGCAUACGACCAACGGGUGAAAGCAGGGGAUCUUCGGACCUUGCGCGAUUGAAUGAGCCGAUGUCGGAUUAGCUAGUUGGCGGGGUAAAGGCCCACCAAGGCGACGAUCCGUAGCUGGUCUGAGAGGAUGAUCAGCCACACUGGAACUGAGACACGGUCCAGACUCCUACGGGAGGCAGCAGUGGGGAAUAUUGGACAAUGGGCGCAAGCCUGAUCCAGCCAUACCGCGUGGGUGAAGAAGGCCUUCGGGUUGUAAAGCCCUUUUGUUGGGAAAGAAAAGCAGCAGGUUAAUACCCCGCUGUUCUGACGGUACCCAAAGAAUAAGCACCGGCUAACUUCGUG